RNA transcript from Phragmites australis (common reed), 990 nucleotides. It is a transcript of the gene named rac-like GTP-binding protein 7, with no coding region annotated. The transcript has 8 exons. The record is from RefSeq and is a predicted model, not a curated record. NCBI's taxonomy places the organism in Eukaryota, Viridiplantae, Streptophyta, Magnoliopsida, Poales, Poaceae.
AUAUGUAUAAGUAUCCCUGCUGCAUCUGCCCAUAACCACCAGACCUACCGAGAACAGGCAGGCAUCCACCACAACCAACAGCUAGCAGCGGCAGGGAGAGAAGGACGAUGAGCACGGCGAGGUUCAUCAAGUGCGUGACGGUCGGCGACGGCGCCGUCGGCAAGACCUGCAUGCUCAUCUCCUACACCAGCAACACCUUCCCCACGGAUUACGUGCCCACGGUAUUUGACAACUUCAGCGCCAACGUCGUCGUCGACGGCAACACGGUGAACCUCGGCCUUUGGGAUACCGCUGGACAAGAAGACUACAACAGGCUGAGGCCUCUUAGCUACAAAGGGGCUGAUGUCUUUCUGUUAGCAUUUUCCCUCAUCAGCAAAGCGAGCAAUGAGAAUAUUCACAAGAAGUGGAUACCAGAGCUAAGACAUUAUGCUCCAAAUGUGCCGAUUGUGUUAGUUGGAACAAAGCUUGACUUGCGUGAGGACAAGCAGUUCUUCCUGGACCACCCUGGUUUAGCGCCUAUCUCUACUGCACAGGGCGAGGAGCUGAAGAGGAUGAUAGGUGCAGCAGCCUACAUAGAAUGCAGCUCCAAGACUCAACAGAAUGUGAAGGCGGUGUUCGACUCCGCCAUAAAGGUCGUGCUGUGCCCGCCGAAGCCAAAGAAGAAGAGCGCCCGGAAGCAGAGUUGCUGGAUUCUAUGAGCCGGCAGGCACAGAAGGAUGUUACAGUCGAAGGGCACUUCUUGCGUUUUAUUAUUUGUGGUUCGUGUUGUGUUGUUGCUGCUAGAUCCUGUCUUCGCUAAAAUUUGAUGCGUCUUAUGUGUGUAGUUGAUCUUUCUUUUCUUGGAGUCAUACACCACAGGUCUGCUAUGAUCUUUGCAAGUAAUCGAGUACACUACCAACUCCCUCUGCGUCAGGCAAAAGAAAGAGGCCGAAUAGCUUGGACUCUACCGGCAUCCCUCUAUUGGCUGUAGACCUGUAGUGUUUGGCAUAU